CGGGGCAUAGCGCAGCCAGGUAGCGCGUCGGCUUUGGGAGCCGGAUGUCGCAGGUUCGAAUCCUGCUGCCCCGACCA
RNAcentral lists this transfer RNA (77 nucleotides) under Acidithiobacillus ferridurans. RNAcentral describes it as "tRNA-Pro". It matches the Rfam family "tRNA". From Rfam's summary of the family: Transfer RNA (tRNA) molecules are approximately 80 nucleotides in length. Their secondary structure includes four short double-helical elements and three loops (D, anti-codon, and T loops). RNAcentral also lists the same sequence under 1 other name. Lineage: Bacteria; Pseudomonadati; Pseudomonadota; Acidithiobacillia; Acidithiobacillales; Acidithiobacillaceae. The record is from RNAcentral.